UCAGCAAGUCAAAUAUACUCCGAAACAGGCCUAAUGUUUGAGGCACCAAAAUGAGUGUUGAACAGUGUAAUUAAAGAGGGUGUGUCUCUUAAAAUUAUAGAAUCAGAAUUGGAAGAGACCUCAUGCAACAUCCAGUCCAACCCUCUCCCAAGAAGCAGGAAAUCGCAUUCAAAGCACCCCCGAGAGAUGGCCAUCCAGCCUCUGCUUAAAAGUCUCCAAAGAAGGAGCUUCCACCUUGGCAGAGAGUUCCACUGCUGAACAGCUCUCACAGUUAGGAAGUUCUUCUUAAUGUUCAGGAAAGUGUAUAGUCCUUCACUGUAGUCCUUCAAGGAGCAGCAUGAAAUCAAGUUUAAAAGGGAGAGAAACUGUGUAGAAGAGAAGAAAAGUGUCUGAAAUGAACUUGCUUUCCCUGUUGACAUGAGUUUGAACGUCAGUGAUGCUGUUAUGGUAACAUACACAUAUAUUUUCAAACAGAAUGAUGGAUCCAGUUCCCUUUCCAGAAAAAAGGAAGUCAUGUUGGCAGAAGCUGGGGCUAACAGUGGGAGCUCACCCUGCUCCCUGGAUUCGAACCGCCGACCUUUUGGUCAGAAAGUUCAGCAUGCACCACCGGGGGCUCCAAUACUUUAAAAUAGUAGUUUAAAUAAACGAAUUUGGAUAAUACAGUAAAACAAGUUUUAUAAUACAGUAAAAUGUGGUACAUCAAGUUGAAUUUGUCUUUGUUUUAAUUCACUUUUAAUUACUGUAUUUCAAUAUUAAUCAGUACAUAGUUAAUGGUAUGGUAUAGUACAUGUACCAAUUCCCAUAGGUGCCGGUCAACUGAGAGUUUUGUGUAUUUCUAAAUGACUGGGAGCAUGAGUUCCUCAUGCACAGUUAUAAUAAUAAUAAUUUCAUUUUUGUACCCCACCUCCAUAUCCCCAAAGGGACUCGGGGCAGCUUACACGGGGAUGAGCCCAAUCAACAUAGUUAAAAUAUCAAAUAUGAACAUACUAAGUACACACAUAGUACAUAGAAGUGCAUAAACAAUAACAUAAAAACAGAAAACAGGAACAUUAGAACAAAAAUAAAUCAACCCUCAAACAACCACUAAAGUUGAAAUAGCUGUCAGUUCCUAGGCAUGGAUGAAUAGGCUAGUGCUAAUCAAUUUUGAAGAUAAGGCUGACGGAUAAAGUGCAAAAUCAGACAACAGGGAUUAGGGGUGGAAAACAAUGUAAAGUAGAGCAUAAUAGAGAAUACUAGCAAAGUGCAAGAGUGAGAUUUUAUGUCCUAGUUGGGGUCGAGGCACAGUGGAACAUCCACGUUUUUAGAUUUUUCCGGAAAAUUGAUAAGGUGGGUGCUAGCCUAAUUUCCCUGGGGACGGAGUUCCAGAGGCGAGGGGCAACCUCCGAGAAGGCCUUCUCUCUCAUCCCCAGCAACCUCCCCAGAGGAUCUUAGGGACUGUGCAGGUUCAUGCGGUCACGAAGGUAGGCAGGUCCCGAACCAUUCAGGUCUUUAUAGGUGAUAACUUGCACCUUGAAUUGGUUAAUUUUUUAAUUUUAUAUUGUGAUGGCCAUGGCAUUACUGUGAAUCUAAUAAUGUAUGAUAUUUGCUUCUGUAACUUAUAAUGCUCAGUCAGUCUGCAUAUUUGUAAAUUAAAUAGAUCAUUGUCCAAUAUGCUUAUCAGAAAGAAAUGUACUGUACUGUAUAAAAUCUGAACAGCAAAUCAUUCCAGAACAUUUGGCCAUUCAGGAAAUUCAUAACAAAGGCCUUAGCACUAGAAGCUUAUUUCAAAUUCCUAAUAUUAAUGACA
This is a long non-coding RNA of Anolis carolinensis (green anole), 1786 nucleotides long. NCBI's taxonomy places the organism in Eukaryota, Metazoa, Chordata, Lepidosauria, Squamata, Anolidae. The record is from Ensembl.